This 468-nucleotide ribosomal RNA is filed under the name uncultured bacterium. RNAcentral's name for it is "partial 16S ribosomal RNA". It matches the Rfam family "Bacterial small subunit ribosomal RNA", at positions 28 to 507 of the family's 1533-position model. The record is from RNAcentral.
GACGAACGCUGGCGGCGUGCUUAACACAUGCAAGUCGAACGGAAAGGCCCUGCUUUUGUGGGGUGCUCGAGUGGCGAACGGGUGAGUAACACGUGAGUAACCUGCCCUUGACUUUGGGAUAACUUCAGGAAACUGGGGCUAAUACCGGAUAGGAGCUCCUGCUGCAUGGUGGGGGUUGGAAAGUUUCGGCGGCUGGGGAUGGACUCGCGGCUUAUCAGCUUGUUGGUGGGGUAGUGGCUUACCAAGGCUUUGACGGGUAGCCGGCCUGAGAGGGUGACCGGCCACAUUGGGACUGAGAUACGGCCCAGACUCCUACGGGUGGCAGCAGUGGGGAAUAUUGCACAAUGGGCGGAAGCCUGAUGCAGCAACGCCGCGUGCGUGAUGACGGCCUUCGGGUUGUAAACCACUUUCGCCUGUGACGAAGCGUGAGUGACGGUAAUGGGUAAAGAAGCACCGGCUAACUACGUG